RNAcentral lists this ribosomal RNA (462 nucleotides) under Megasphaera geminata. RNAcentral's name for it is "bacterial SSU rRNA". It matches the Rfam family "Bacterial small subunit ribosomal RNA", at positions 28 to 465 of the family's 1533-position model. Lineage: Bacteria; Bacillati; Bacillota; Negativicutes; Veillonellales; Veillonellaceae. The record is from RNAcentral.
GACGAACGCUGGCGGCGUGCGUAACACAUGCAAGUCGAACGAGAGAGUGAGAGAAGCUUGCUUUUCUUACAAUCGAGUGGCAAACGGGUGAGUAACGCGUAAACAACCUGCCCCGCAGAUGGGGACAACAGCUGGAAACGGCUGCUAAUACCGAAUACGGUCCUCUUAGCGCAUGGUAAGAGGAAGAAAGGGUGGCCUCUGGAACAAGCUACCGCUGCGGGAGGGGUUUGCGUCUGAUUAGCUGGUUGGAGGGGUAACGGCCCACCAAGGCGACGAUCAGUAGCCGGUCUGAGAGGAUGAACGGCCACAUUGGAACUGAGACACGGUCCAGACUCCUACGGGAGGCAGCAGUGGGGAAUCUUCCGCAAUGGGCGAAAGCCUGACGGAGCAACGCCGCGUGAGUGAAGACGGCCUUCGGGUUGUAAAACUCUGUUAUAGGGGACGAACGGCCGGGUAGCGAAG